UUAAGCGACUAAGCGUACACGGUGGAUGCCCUGGCAGUCAGAGGCGAUGAAGGGCGUGCUAAUCUGCGAUAAGCGCCGGUAAGGUGAUAUGAACCGUUAUAACCGGCGAUACCCGAAUGGGGAAACCCAGUGUGACUCGUCACACUAUCAUUAACUGAAUCCAUAGGUUAAUGAGGCGAACCGGGGGAACUGAAACAUCUAAGUACCCCGAGGAAAAGAAAUCAACCGAGAUUCCCCCAGUAGCGGCGAGCGAACGGGGAGGAGCCCAGAGCCUGAAUCAGCAUGUGUGUUAGUGGAAGCGUCUGGAAAGGCGCGCGAUACAGGGUGACAGCCCCGUACACAAAAGCGCAUGUGCUGUGAGCUCGAUGAGUAGGGCGGGACACGUGGUAUCCUGUCUGAAUAUGGGGGGACCAUCCUCCAAGGCUAAAUACUCCUGACUGACCGAUAGUGAACCAGUACCGUGAGGGAAAGGCGAAAAGAACCCCGGCGAGGGGAGUGAAAAAGAACCUGAAACCGUGUACGUACAAGCAGUGGGAGCCCCACCACUAAGCCAGUGGUGAACUCCACAUACGCAUCCUUUGCUGAGGAUACGGUUAACGGAGCGAAAGCGACGUUCAACCUCAAAAGAAGCAGAGGGGGCUUAGUGGUGGGGUGACUGCGUACCUUUUGUAUAAUGGGUCAGCGACUUAUAUUCUGUAGCAAGGUUAACCGAAUAGGGGAGCCGGAGGGAAACCGAGUCUUAAUUGGGCGUUAAGUUGCAGGGUAUAGACCCGAAACCCGGUGAUCUAGCCAUGGGCAGGUUGAAGGUUGGGUAACACUAACUGGAGGACCGAACCGACUAAUGUUGAAAAAUUAGCGGAUGACCUGUGGCUGGGGGUGAAAGGCCAAUCAAACCGGGAGAUAGCUGGUUCUCCCCGAAAGCUAUUUAGGUAGCGCCUCGUGAAUUCAUCUCCGGGGGUAGAGCACUGUUUCGGCUAGGGGGCCAUCCCGGCUUACCAACCCGAUGCAAACUGCGAAUACCGGAGAAUGUUAUCACGGGAGACACACGGCGGGUGCUAACGUCCGUCGUGAAGAGGGAAACAACCCAGACCGCCAGCUAAGGUCCCAAAGUCAUGGUUAAGUGGGAAACGAUGUGGGAAGGCCCAGACAGCCAGGAUGUUGGCUUAGAAGCAGCCAUCAUUUAAAGAAAGCGUAAUAGCUCACUGGUCGAGUCGGCCUGCGCGGAAGAUGUAACGGGGCUAAACCAUGCACCGAAGCUGCGGCAGCGAACGUAUCACUUAAAGCGAUUCAGCGGGUUACGAUUGACGGAGCGAAGCGACGUCAAAGCGUAUACAAAGUCGAGUCGGUUUAAGGAUACGUUCGUUGGGUAGGGGAGCGUUCUGUAAGCCUGUGAAGGUGGCCUGUGAGGGUUGCUGGAGGUAUCAGAAGUGCGAAUGCUGACAUAAGUAACGAUAAAGCGGGUGAAAAGCCCGCUCGCCGGAAGACCAAGGGUUCCUGUCCAACGUUAAUCGGGGCAGGGUGAGUCGACCCCUAAGGCGAGGCCGAAAGGCGUAGUCGAUGGGAAACGGGUUAAUAUUCCCGUACUUGGUGUUACUGCGAAGGGGGGACGGAGAAGGCUAUGUUGGCCGGGCGACGGUUGUCCCGGUUUAAGCGUGUAGGCUGGUUUUCCAGGCAAAUCCGGAAAAUCAAGGCUGAGGCGUGACGACGAGGCACUACGGUGCUGAAGCAACAAAUGCCCUGCUUCCAGGAAAAGCCUCUAAGCAUCAGGUAACAUCAAAUCGUACCCCAAACCGACACAGGUGGUCAGGUAGAGAAUACCAAGGCGCUUGAGAGAACUCGGGUGAAGGAACUAGGCAAAAUGGUGCCGUAACUUCGGGAGAAGGCACGCUGACAUGUAGGUGAAGUGAUUUACUCAUGGAGCUGAAGUCAGUCGAAGAUACCAGCUGGCUGCAACUGUUUAUUAAAAACACAGCACUGUGCAAACACGAAAGUGGACGUAUACGGUGUGACGCCUGCCCGGUGCCGGAAGGUUAAUUGAUGGGGUCAGCGCAAGCGAAGCUCCUGAUCGAAGCCCCGGUAAACGGCGGCCGUAACUAUAACGGUCCUAAGGUAGCGAAAUUCCUUGUCGGGUAAGUUCCGACCUGCACGAAUGGCGUAAUGAUGGCCAGGCUGUCUCCACCCGAGACUCAGUGAAAUUGAACUCGCUGUGAAGAUGCAGUGUACCCGCGGCAAGACGGAAAGACCCCGUGAACCUUUACUAUAGCUUGACACUGAACAUUGAGCCUUGAUGUGUAGGAUAGGUGGGAGGCUUUGAAGCGUGGACGCCAGUCUGCGUGGAGCCGACCUUGAAAUACCACCCUUUAAUGUUUGAUGUUCUAACGUGGACCCGUUACCCGGGUUGCGGACAGUGUCUGGUGGGUAGUUUGACUGGGGCGGUCUCCUCCUAAAGAGUAACGGAGGAGCACGAAGGUUGGCUAAUCCUGGUCGGACAUCAGGAGGUUAGUGCAAUGGCAUAAGCCAGCUUGACUGCGAGCGUGACGGCGCGAGCAGGUGCGAAAGCAGGUCAUAGUGAUCCGGUGGUUCUGAAUGGAAGGGCCAUCGCUCAACGGAUAAAAGGUACUCCGGGGAUAACAGGCUGAUACCGCCCAAGAGUUCAUAUCGACGGCGGUGUUUGGCACCUCGAUGUCGGCUCAUCACAUCCUGGGGCUGAAGUAGGUCCCAAGGGUAUGGCUGUUCGCCAUUUAAAGUGGUACGCGAGCUGGGUUUAGAACGUCGUGAGACAGUUCGGUCCCUAUCUGCCGUGGGCGCUGGAGAACUGAGGGGGGCUGCUCCUAGUACGAGAGGACCGGAGUGGACGCAUCACUGGUGUUCGGGUUGUCAUGCCAAUGGCACUGCCCGGUAGCUAAAUGCGGAAGAGAUAAGUGCUGAAAGCAUCUAAGCACGAAACUUGCCCCGAGAUGAGUUCUCCCUGAGACUUUAGGUCUCCUGAAGGAACGUUGAAGACGACGACGUUGAUAGGCCGGGUGUGUAAGCGCAGCGAUGCGUUGAGCUAACCGGUACUAAUGAACCGUGAGGCUUAACCUU
RNAcentral lists this ribosomal RNA (3084 nucleotides) under Salmonella enterica subsp. enterica serovar Bovismorbificans. RNAcentral describes it as "bacterial LSU rRNA". It matches the Rfam family "Bacterial large subunit ribosomal RNA". The record is from RNAcentral. Lineage: Bacteria; Pseudomonadati; Pseudomonadota; Gammaproteobacteria; Enterobacterales; Enterobacteriaceae.